This 442-nucleotide ribosomal RNA is filed under the name Geobacillus lituanicus. RNAcentral's name for it is "bacterial SSU rRNA". It matches the Rfam family "Bacterial small subunit ribosomal RNA", at positions 92 to 517 of the family's 1533-position model. The record is from RNAcentral. Lineage: Bacteria; Bacillati; Bacillota; Bacilli; Caryophanales; Anoxybacillaceae.
UCAGCGGCGGACGGGUGAGUAACACGUGGGCAACCUGCCCGCAAGACCGGGAUAACUCCGGGAAACCGGAGCUAAUACCGGAUAACACCGAAGACCGCAUGGUCUUCGGUUGAAAGGCGGCCUUUGGGCUGUCACUUGCGGAUGGGCCCGCGGCGCAUUAGCUAGUUGGUGAGGUAACGGCUCACCAAGGCGACGAUGCGUAGCCGGCCUGAGAGGGUGACCGGCCACACUGGGACUGAGACACGGCCCAGACUCCUACGGGAGGCAGCAGUAGGGAAUCUUCCGCAAUGGGCGAAAGCCUGACGGAGCGACGCCGCGUGAGCGAAGAAGGCCUUCGGGUCGUAAAGCUCUGUUGUGAGGGACGAAGGAGCGCCGUUUGAAGAAGGCGGCGCGGUGACGGUACCUCACGAGAAAGCCCCGGCUAACUACGUGCCAGCAGCCG